Molecule: unclassified non-coding RNA, 493 nt
Filed under: Hevea brasiliensis (rubber tree)
Lineage: Eukaryota; Viridiplantae; Streptophyta; Magnoliopsida; Malpighiales; Euphorbiaceae
Source: RNAcentral
AGAAUAAAAAAAAAAAAAAAUACAGCAUGAGAGAUUCAAUUGCAAUAAUCGUAUGAACUUCCAAAACAACACUACUGCAUUUCUCAAGAAAAUCUCCUUCCCACAAAAUGAAAAGGAAGAACCCCAAAAAUGCCCACUAGAGGGCAAGAUAUCAAAAGACAAGGUAUACCCAUUCGACGGCGGCCUCUGAAGCAAAAACCCAUCAAUAGAAAUGACCCAUUUUACCAGAAACGCCAAAACAGCAUAAAAGAAGUCCAAGGCAAAGGAAACUGUGAUAAAAGUAGCUUACUGCUUCUAUCUUCAGAAGAAGAAAAGAACGGAAAAAGGAAAACGUCCGCUUUUGACAGUCUCUAAUAUUUAAGAAGCGAAAAACCUAGAAGAACCCAACUUCGAAGACGAUGUUGCUUGUGCUGGCGCUGAAUCAUGUGUGGCUGGUUGGCAUGAUUCCUUAGAAGAAUAAGACCCCUUGUAACGUUAUCUCCGCAGUUUAUGA